GAUGAACGCUGGCGGCGUGCCUAAUACAUGCGAGUCGAGCGGACAGACCAUGAGCUUGCUCCUCUGACUUUAGCGGCGGACGGGUGAGUAACACGUGGAUAACCUACCUAUAAGACUGGGAUAACUUCGAGAAACCGGAGCUAAUACCGGAUAAUAUAUUGAACCGCAUGGUUCAAUAGUGAAAGACGGUUUUGCUGUCACUUAUAGAUGGGUCCGCGUCGCAUUAGCUAGUUGGUAAGGUAACGGCUUACCAAGGCAACGAUGCGUAGCCGAUCUGAGAGGGGGAUAAGGCACACUAGAACUGAGCCGAGGCACAGACUAAUACGGGACGCAGCGGAAGGGAAUCUUACGCAAUGGGCGAAAGCAUGACGUGAAACAGCCGAGUGGGUGAUAAAGGUCCUGCGCUAGUAAAACUAUGUUAUUAGGGAAGAACAAAUGUGUAAGUAACUAUGCACGUCUUGACGGUACCUAAUCAGAAAGCCACGGCUAACUACGUG
This 497-nucleotide ribosomal RNA is filed under the name uncultured bacterium. RNAcentral describes it as "partial 16S ribosomal RNA". It matches the Rfam family "Bacterial small subunit ribosomal RNA", at positions 28 to 507 of the family's 1533-position model. The record is from RNAcentral.